Molecule: ribosomal RNA, 484 nt
Filed under: uncultured bacterium
Lineage: Bacteria
Description: partial 16S ribosomal RNA
Rfam family: Bacterial small subunit ribosomal RNA
Source: RNAcentral
AUUGAACGCUGGCGGCAGGCCUAACACAUGCAAGUCGAGCGGAUGAAGGGAGCUUGCUCCUGGAUUCAGCGGCGGACGGGUGAGUAAUGCCUAGGAAUCUGCCUGGUAGUGGGGGAUAACGUCCGGAAACGGGCGCUAAUACCGCAUACGUCCUGAGGGAGAAAGUGGGGGAUCUUCGGACCUCACGCUAUCAGAUGAGCCUAGGUCGGAUUAGCUAGUUGGUGGGGUAAAGGCCUACCAAGGCGACGAUCCGUAACUGGUCUGAGAGGAUGAUCAGUCACACUGGAGCUGGGACAGGGUCCAGGCUCCUACGGGAGGCAGCAGUGGGGAAUAUUGGACAAUGGGCGAAAGCCUGAUCCAGCCAGGCCGCGUGUGUGAAGAAGGUCUUCGGAUUGUAAAGCACUUUAAGUUGGGAGGAAGGGCAGUAAGUUAAUACCUUGCUGUUUUGACGUUACUAACAGAAUAAGCACCGGCUAACUUCGUG